This 253-nucleotide ribosomal RNA is filed under the name uncultured bacterium. RNAcentral describes it as "partial 16S ribosomal RNA". It matches the Rfam family "Bacterial small subunit ribosomal RNA", at positions 524 to 776 of the family's 1533-position model. The record is from RNAcentral.
UACAGAGGGUGCGAGCGUUAAUCGGAAUUACUGGGCGUAAAGCGCGCGUAGACGGUUAUUUAAGUCGGGUGUGAAAGCCCCGGGCUCAACCUGGGAAUUGCAUUCGAGACUGAAUAGCUAGGGUACGGAAGAGGCGAGUGGAAUUCCUGGUGUAGCGGUGGAAUGCGCAGAUAUCAGGAGGAACACCAAUAGCGAAGGCAGCUCGCUGGGACGUUACUGACGCUGAGGCGCGAAAGCGUGGGGAGCGAACAGG